UACAGAGGGGGCAAGCGUUAUUCGGAAUUAUUGGGCGUAAAGGGCGCGUAGGCGGCUUUGCAAGUGACGGGUGAAAUCCCUCGGCUUAACCGAGGAACUGCCUGUCAAACUGCAUGGCUUGAGACCAGGAGAGGUGAGUGGAAUUCCCAGUGUAGCGGUGAAAUGCGUAGAGAUCAUGAGGAAGACCAGUGGCGAAGGCGGGUCUCUGGACAGUUCCUGACACUGAGACACGAAGGCCAGGGGAGCAAACGGG
RNAcentral lists this ribosomal RNA (253 nucleotides) under uncultured bacterium. RNAcentral describes it as "partial 16S ribosomal RNA". It matches the Rfam family "Bacterial small subunit ribosomal RNA", at positions 524 to 776 of the family's 1533-position model. The record is from RNAcentral.